GAUGAACGCUGGCGGCGUGCCUAAUACAUGCAAGUCGAGCGAACGGACGAGAAGCUUGCUUCUCUGAUGUUAGCGGCGGACGGGUGAGUAACACGUGGAUAACCUACCUAUAAGACUGGGAUAACUUCGGGAAACCGGAGCUAAUACCGGAUAAUAUUUUGAACCGCAUGGUUCAAAAGUGAAAGACGGUCUUGCUGUCACUUAUAGAUGGAUCCGCGCUGCAUUAGCUAGUUGGUAAGGUAACGGCUUACCAAGGCAACGAUGCAUAGCCGACCUGAGAGGGUGAUCGGCCACACUGGAACUGAGACACGGUCCAGACUCCUACGGGAGGCAGCAGUAGGGAAUCUUCCGCAAUGGGCGAAAGCCUGACGGAGCAACGCCGCGUGAGUGAUGAAGGUCUUCGGAUCGUAAAACUCUGUUAUUAGGGAAGAACAUAUGUGUAAGUAACUGUGCACAUCUUGACGGUACCUAAUCAGAAAGCCACGGCUAACUACGCGCCAGCAGCCGCGGUAAUACGUAGGUGGCAAGCGUUAUCCGGAAUUAUUGGGCGUAAAGCGCGCGUAGGCGGUUUUUUAAGUCUGAUGUGAAAGCCCACGGCUCAACCGUGGAGGGUCAUUGGAAACUGGAAAACUUGAGUGCAGAAGAGGAAAGUGGAAUUCCAUGUGUAGCGGUGAAAUGCGCAGAGAUAUGGAGGAACACCAGUGGCGAAGGCGACUUUCUGGUCUGUAACUGACGCUGAUGUGCGAAAGCGUGGGGAUCAAACAGGAUUAGAUACCCUGGUAGUCCACGCCGUAAACGAUGAGUGCUAAGUGUUAGGGGGUUUCCGCCCCUUAGUGCUGCAGCUAACGCAUUAAGCACUCCGCCUGGGGAGUACGACCGCAAGGUUGAAACUCAAAGGAAUUGACGGGGACCCGCACAAGCGGUGGAGCAUGUGGUUUAAUUCGAAGCAACGCGAAGAACCUUACCAAAUCUUGACAUCCUUUGACAACUCUAGAGAUAGAGCUUUCCCCUUCGGGGGACAAAGUGACAGGUGGUGCAUGGUUGUCGUCAGCUCGUGUCGUGAGAUGUUGGGUUAAGUCCCGCAACGAGCGCAACCCUUAAGCUUAGUUGCCAUCAUUAAGUUGGGCACUCUAAGUUGACUGCCGGUGACAAACCGGAGGAAGGUGGGGAUGACGUCAAAUCAUCAUGCCCCUUAUGAUUUGGGCUACACACGUGCUACAAUGGACAAUACAAAGGGCAGCGAAACCGUGAGGUCAAGCAAAUCCCAUAAAGUUGUUCUCAGUUCGGAUUGUAGUCUGCAACUCGACUACAUGAAGCUGGAAUCGCUAGUAAUCGUAGAUCAGCAUGCUACGGUGAAUACGUUCCCGGGUCU
Molecule: ribosomal RNA, 1372 nt
Filed under: uncultured bacterium
Lineage: Bacteria
Description: bacterial SSU rRNA
Rfam family: Bacterial small subunit ribosomal RNA
Source: RNAcentral